RNAcentral lists this ribosomal RNA (422 nucleotides) under uncultured eukaryote. RNAcentral describes it as "SSU rRNA". It matches the Rfam family "Eukaryotic small subunit ribosomal RNA", at positions 592 to 1018 of the family's 1831-position model. The record is from RNAcentral.
CAAUAGCGUAUAUUAAAGUUGUUGCGGUUAAAAAGCUCGUAGUUGGAUUUCUGUGGUAGGCAGCCGGUCCACACUAUGUGUGAGUAUCUGGUUCGGCUACUGCAUCCUCCUGAGGAACGUUGGUGCGCUUCACUGCGUGGCACGGUAUUCAGGACUUUUACUUUGAGGAAAUUAGAGUGUUCACGGCAGGCGUUUGCCCUGAAUAUAUUAGCAUGGAAUAAUGAUAUAGGAUCCACGUCCUAUUUUGUUGGUUUCUAGGACGAGGAUAAUGAUUAAUAGGGAUAAUUGGGGGCAUUCGUAUUAACACGUCAGAGGUGGAAUUCUUGGAUUGUGUUACGACGAACUACUGCGAAAGCAUUUGCCAAGGAUGUUUUCAUUGAUCAAGAACGAAAGUAAGGGGAUCGAAGACGAUUAGAUACCAU